This 493-nucleotide ribosomal RNA is filed under the name uncultured bacterium. RNAcentral's name for it is "bacterial SSU rRNA". It matches the Rfam family "Bacterial small subunit ribosomal RNA", at positions 27 to 507 of the family's 1533-position model. The record is from RNAcentral.
GGAUGAACGCUAGCGGCAGGCUUAACACAUGCAAGUUGAGGGGCAGCAUGAGACGGAGAUUCGUCGAAGUCUUGAUGGCGACCGGCGCAAGGGUGCGUAACGCGUGAGCAACUUGCCCGUUUCUGGGGAAUAACCGGUGGAAACGCCGACUAAUACCCCAUAGUAUUGAGUUUAGGCAUCUUUACUCAAUUAAGAAUUUCGGAAACGGAUAGGCUCGCGUGACAUUAGCUGGAUGGCGGGGUAACGGCCCACCAUGGCAACGAUGUCUAGGGGUUCUGAGAGGAAGGUCCCCCACACUGGAACUGAGACACGGCCCAGACUCCUACGGGAGACAGCAGUGAGGAAUAUUGGUCAAUGGACGCAAGUCUGAACCAGCCAUGCCGCGUGCAGGAUGACGGCUCUAUGAGUUGUAAACUGCUUUUGUAUGAGGGUAAUAUCAGGUACGUGUACCUGCUUGAAAGUAUCAUACGAAUAAGGAUCGGCUAACUCCGUG